UUUAAUUAAGUAGCAUAAUACUGUACAGUGAUCCCUAAAGAUAAAGUGGCCUCAGGAUACAAUAUUUUUGACAUACAAUGGUCUUUUCUGAACCAUCGUAAGUUGAAACCAGACUCAACAUACAAUGCCUCAGACUUAGAUCCAACCAAU
Long non-coding RNA from Bufo bufo (common toad), 150 nucleotides. RefSeq lists it as uncharacterized. Lineage: Eukaryota; Metazoa; Chordata; Amphibia; Anura; Bufonidae. The transcript has 3 exons. The record is from RefSeq and is a predicted model, not a curated record.